UUGGAUAACCGUGGUAAUUCUAGAGCUAAUACAUGCUGGAAACCCCAACUUCGGGAGGGGUGUAUUUAUUAGAUAAAAAACCAACGCCCUUCGGGGCUUCUUGGUGAUUCAUGAUAACUUUACGGAUCGCAUGGCCUUGCGCCGGCGACGGUUCAUUCAAAUUUCUGCCCUAUCAACUUUCGAUGGUAAGGUAUUGGCUUACCAUGGUUUCAACGGGUAACGGGGAAUUAGGGUUCGAUUCCGGAGAGGGAGCCUGAGAAACGGCUACCACAUCCAAGGAAGGCAGCAGGCGCGCAAAUUACCCAAUCCCGACACGGGGAGGUAGUGACAAUAAAUACUGAUACAGGGCUCUUUUGGGUCUUGUAAUUGGAAUGAGUACAAUUUAAACCUCUUAACGAGGAACAAUUGGAGGGCAAGUCUGGUGCCAGCAGCCGCGGUAAUUCCAGCUCCAAUAGCGUAUAUUAAAGUUGUUGCAGUUAAAAAGCUCGUAGUUGAAACUUGGGUCUGGCUGGCAGGUCCGCCUCACCGCGUGUACUUGUCCGGCCGGGCCUUCCUUCUGGAGAACCUCAUGCCCUUCACUGGGCGUGUUGGGGACCAGGACUUUUACUUUGAAAAAAUUAGAGUGUUCAAAGCAGGCCUUUGCUCGAAUACGUUAGCAUGGAAUAAUAGAAUAGGACGUGCGGUCCUAUUUUGUUGGUUUCUAGGACCGCCGUAAUGAUUAAUAGGGACAGUCGGGGGCAUCAGUAUUCAAUUGUCAGAGGUGAAAUUCUUGGAUUUAUUGAAGACUAACUACUGCGAAAGCAUUUGCCAAGGAUGUUUUCAUUAAUCAGUGAACGAAAGUUAGGGGAUCGAAGACGAUCAGAUACCGUCGUAGUCUUAACCGUAAACUAUGCCGACUAGGGAUCGGGCGAUGUUCUUUUUCUGACUCGCUCGGCACCUUACGAGAAAUCAAA
Molecule: ribosomal RNA, 953 nt
Filed under: Camarosporidiella celtidis
Lineage: Eukaryota; Fungi; Ascomycota; Dothideomycetes; Pleosporales
Also listed under: 1 other name
Description: SSU rRNA
Rfam family: Eukaryotic small subunit ribosomal RNA
Source: RNAcentral